GCAAGUCGAGCGAUCUCUUCGGAGAUAGCGGCGCACGGGUGAGUAACGCGUGGAUAAUCUCCCUUAGAGAUCGGGAUAACAGUUGGAAACGACUGCUAAUACCGUAUAUACUGCAUAUUUAACUUUAUGUGGAAAAGGUGGCCUCUAUUUAUAAGCUAUCGCUCUGAGAUGAGUCCGCGUCUCAUUAGAUUGUUGGUGGGGUAAUGGCCUACCAAGUCUACGAUGAGUAGCAGGUCUGAGAGGAUGAUC
This 249-nucleotide ribosomal RNA is filed under the name uncultured bacterium. RNAcentral describes it as "partial 16S ribosomal RNA". It matches the Rfam family "Bacterial small subunit ribosomal RNA", at positions 57 to 305 of the family's 1533-position model. The record is from RNAcentral.